GUAGACUUAGGUUAAUUAAACUUUUUGUCUUCAAAACAAAAAAUAUCUUUGUGGGGGGUAGUUUAUG
Molecule: non-coding RNA, 67 nt
Organism: Styela clava
Lineage: Eukaryota; Metazoa; Chordata; Ascidiacea; Stolidobranchia; Styelidae
Source: the annotation of a RefSeq genome assembly